This 93-nucleotide transfer RNA is filed under the name Puniceicoccales bacterium. RNAcentral describes it as "tRNA-Ser". It matches the Rfam family "tRNA". Rfam says of the family: Transfer RNA (tRNA) molecules are approximately 80 nucleotides in length. Their secondary structure includes four short double-helical elements and three loops (D, anti-codon, and T loops). The record is from RNAcentral. Lineage: Bacteria; Pseudomonadati; Verrucomicrobiota; Opitutia; Puniceicoccales.
GGAGAGAUGGCUGAGUGGCCGAAAGCGCCUUCCUGCUAAGAAGGUGAUCCUCCAAAAGGGGAUCCGAGGGUUCGAAUCCCUCUCUCUCCGCCA